CCUACGGGGGGCAGCAGUGAGGAAUAUUGGUCAAUGGACGAGAGUCUGAACCAGCCAAGUAGCGUGAAGGAUGACUGCCCUAUGGGUUGUAAACUUCUUUUAUAUGGGAAUAAAAUGUUCCACGUGUGGGCUUUUGUAUGUACCAUAUGAAUAAGGAUCGGCUAACUCCGUGCCAGCAGCCGCGGUAAUACGGAGGAUCCGAGCGUUAUCCGGAUUUAUUGGGUUUAAGGGGAGCGUAGGUGGAUUGUUAAGUCAGUUGUGAAAGUUUGCGGCUCAACCGUAAAAUUGCAGUUGAAACUGGCAGUCUUGAGUACAGUAGAGGUGGGCGGAAUUCGUGGUGUAGCGGUGAAAUGCUUAGAUAUCACGAAGAACUCCGAUUGCGAAGGCAGCUCACUGGACUGCAACUGACACUGAGGCUCGAAAGUGUGGGUAUCAAACAGGAUUAGAUACCCGUGUAGUC
Molecule: ribosomal RNA, 460 nt
Filed under: uncultured bacterium
Lineage: Bacteria
Description: partial 16S ribosomal RNA
Rfam family: Bacterial small subunit ribosomal RNA
Source: RNAcentral